AUGAGGUUUUGGAAAACCACCCUGGAAGCCAAUGGGAAGCCAUUUGCCCAAGUAUCCAUCAAAUGUGGCAUAUACCAAGGAGAUGCACUGUCCCCACUGCUGUUCUGCAUAGGUCUGAACCCCCUUAGCCAAAUAAUAAACAAGACUGGCUAUGGAUACCGACUCCGGAACGGGGCCACCAUAAGUCACCUCCUCUACAUGGAUGACAUCCAGCUGUACGCCAAGAGUGAGCGAGACAAAUACCUCCAACGAGUAAGGCAAGUCCUAAGAAGCCAGCUCAAUGGCAAGAACAAAUCCCAGGCAAUAAACAGCUACGCCCUGCCAGUGAUCAGAUACCCUGCGGGAAUAAUAAGGUGGCCAAAGGAAGAGAUACAGACCACAGAUGUUAAGACACGAAAGCUCCUCACCAUGAAUGGAGGGUUCCACCCCAAAUCCAGCACCCUGAGACUGUACGCUAGCCUCAAGGAAGGAGGCCGAGGACUAGUGAGCGUGAGAGCCACUAUCCGGGAUGAAACAUGCAAGAUCCAUAAGUACAUCAAGGAGAAGGCCCCGACAGAUGACGUGCUGAGUGAAUGUCUCAGGCAGUGGAGAACAGAGGAUGAGAUGCUGGAAGAGGGACCAUCAUGGGAGGACAAGCCCUUACACGGGAUGUACCACCGGAACAUAACUGAAGUGGCUGAUCUCAACAAAUCCUACCAAUGGCUUGAAAGGGCUGGGCUGAAGGACAGCACAGAGGCACUCAUCCUGGCCGCACAGGAGCAGGCCCUGAGCACCAGAGCCAUAGAGGCCCAGAUCUACCACACCAGACAAGACCCAAGGUGUAGACUGUGCAAAGAGGCCCCUGAGACGGUCCAGCACAUAACUGCAGGGUGUAAGAUGCUGGCAGGGAAAGCAUACAUGGAACGCCAUAACCAAUUGGCUGGCAUAGUAUACAGGAACAUCUGCGCGGAGUAUGGACUGGAAACCCCAAGGUCAAAGUGGGAAACACCUCCCAAGGUGGUAGACAACGAGCGAGCCAAGAUCCUGUGGGACUUCCAGAUCCAGACUGACAGAAUGGUAAUGGCGAACCAACCAGACAUUGUGGUGGUGGAUAAAGAGCAGAGCAAAGCCGUAGUGGUGGAUGUGGCAAUACCAAGCAAUGGCAACAUCAGGAAAAAGGAACAUGAGAAACUAGAGAAAUACCAAGGGCUCAGAGAAAAACUGGAGAAGGCUUGGAAGGUGAAGGGUGGUGCCUGUGUUGAUCGGAGCACUGGGGGCUGUGACCCCCAAACUGGAGGAGUGGCUACAACAGAUCCCUGGAAAAACAUCCGACAUCUCAGUCCAGAAAAGUGCAGCGCUAGGAACAGCAAGGAUACUGCGCAGAACCCUCAAGCUCCCUGGCCUCUGGUAGAGGACCCGAGCUUGGAAAGUGGAUGA
RNAcentral lists this long non-coding RNA (1416 nucleotides) under Betta splendens (Siamese fighting fish). RNAcentral describes it as "lncRNA (ENSBSLG00000006260.1)". The record is from RNAcentral. Lineage: Eukaryota; Metazoa; Chordata; Actinopteri; Anabantiformes; Osphronemidae.